This 490-nucleotide long non-coding RNA is filed under the name Homo sapiens (human). Its description in RNAcentral is "HSALNT0063620". Lineage: Eukaryota; Metazoa; Chordata; Mammalia; Primates; Hominidae. The record is from RNAcentral.
AUAAGGGGUUUCACCUUGUUGCCCAAGCUGGUCUUGAAGUUCUGGGCUCAAGCGAUCUGCCUGCAUUAGCCUCCUAAAGUUCUGGGAUUACCAACAUGAGCUACCAUGCCUGGGUCAAAGCCAUUCUCUGAGCUGAAGAAAAACUACAAAAGAUAGAAACUCAGAUGUGCAGGAAAGAAUAUAGACACCAAAAAAGGAGUGCAAUUUUGACCAAUUACUUUUUACUGGAAGAACUUCAAGAAUAGCUAUGAAGCAUAUGAAGAGGUCUUAGUGUCCCAGCACCAUUUGUUGAAAAGGAUAUUCUUUCCCUGUUGAAAUAAUGUCUUGGCACCCAAACUGAAAAUGAAUUCACCUCAGAAUGUAUAGAUAAAGUGGAAGACUACUCCUAGAGAGAAGCAAUUGUGCCUGGUAAUAUAUACACAUGCUACAAAGUAUAAAAGGCACGAGAACAUGAGAAAUCAUUCUCAGUCUUAUAUCUGUAUCACGGCCA